UACGUAGGGCGCAAGCGUUGUCCGGAUUUACUGGGCGUAAAGGGCGCGUAGGCGGCCACCGCAAGUCAGUUGUGAAAUCUCUGGGCUUAACCCAGAACGGUCAGCCGAUACUGCGGGGCUAGAGUGCAGAAGGGGCAACUGGAAUUCUUGGUGUAGCGGUGAAAUGCGUAGAUAUCAAGAGGAACACCUGAGGUGAAGACGGGUUGCUAGGCUGACACUGACGCUGAGGCGCGAAAGCCAGGGGAGCAAACAGG
Molecule: ribosomal RNA, 254 nt
Filed under: uncultured bacterium
Lineage: Bacteria
Description: partial 16S ribosomal RNA
Rfam family: Bacterial small subunit ribosomal RNA
Source: RNAcentral